CCUACGGGCGGCAGCAGUGGGGAAUAUUGCACAAUGGGGGAAACCCUGAUGCAGCGACGCCGCGUGAGUGAAGAAGUAUUUCGGUACGUAAAGCUCUAUCAGCAGGGAAGAAAAUGACGGUACCUGACUAAGAAGCCCCGGCUAACUACGUGCCAGCAGCCGCGGUAAUACGUAGGGGGCAAGCGUUAUCCGGAUUUACUGGGUGUAAAGGGAGCGUAGACGGCAUCGCAAGUCUGGAGUGAAAUCCCAUGGCUUAACCAUGGAACUGCCUUGGAAACUGUGCAGCUAGAGUGCAGGAGAGGUAAGCGGAAGUCCUAGUGUAGCGGUGAAAUGCGUAGAUAUUAGGAGGAACACCAGUGGCGAAGGCGGCUUACUGGACUGUAACUGACGUUGAGGCUCGAAAGCGUGGGGAGCAAACAGGAUUAGAUACCCGGGUAGUC
RNAcentral lists this ribosomal RNA (440 nucleotides) under uncultured bacterium. RNAcentral's name for it is "partial 16S ribosomal RNA". It matches the Rfam family "Bacterial small subunit ribosomal RNA", at positions 338 to 795 of the family's 1533-position model. The record is from RNAcentral.